This 237-nucleotide unclassified non-coding RNA is filed under the name fungal sp. RNAcentral describes it as "partial internal transcribed spacer region". The stretch from base 1 to 46 matches the Rfam family "Eukaryotic small subunit ribosomal RNA", at positions 1786 to 1831 of the family's 1831-position model. Lineage: Eukaryota; Fungi. The record is from RNAcentral.
AAGUCGUAACAAGGUUUCCGUAGGUGAACCUGCGGAAGGAUCAUUAACACUAAUGAAAUCCAAAACCUUUUUGGAUCAACCCAACCUUAGCGAACCGUUCGUUUUUUCCCUUUGCCAUAUCAUUUUAUCAAACGCAAAAAAAUCUGAUGUAAAGUGUCUGAUUCUUAUUCUAGCUGUAACGGCUGGAAUCAAAAAUCUAACGCAAUACAACUCUUAACAACGGAUAUCUUGGCUCUC